UACGUAGGGGACAAGCGUUGUCCGGAUUUACUGGGCGUAAAGGGCACGCAGGCGGUUUUUUAAGUCAGAUGUGAAAGGUACCGGCUCAACCGGUGACAUGCAUUUGAAACUGAAAGACUUGAGUAUUGGAGAGGCAAGUGGAAUUCCUAGUGUAGCGGUGAAAUGCGUAGAUAUUAGGAGGAACACCGGUGGCGAAGGCGGCUUGCUGGACAAAUACUGACACUCAGAGACGAAAGCUAGGGUAGCAAAU
Molecule: ribosomal RNA, 250 nt
Filed under: uncultured bacterium
Lineage: Bacteria
Description: partial 16S ribosomal RNA
Rfam family: Bacterial small subunit ribosomal RNA
Source: RNAcentral